This 154-nucleotide unclassified non-coding RNA is filed under the name Parastagonospora avenae. Its description in RNAcentral is "sequence contains ITS2". The record is from RNAcentral. Lineage: Eukaryota; Fungi; Ascomycota; Dothideomycetes; Pleosporales; Phaeosphaeriaceae.
GUACCCUCAAGCUUUGCUUGGUGUUGGGUGUUUGUCCUCUCCCUAGUGUUUGGACUCGCCUUAAAAUAAUUGGCAGCCAGUAUUUUGGUAUUAAAGCGCAGCACAAGUCGCGAUUUGAUCCAGCUAUACUUGCGUCCACAAGCUAUUUCUUUAC